AUUCCCCCAGUAGCGGCGAGCGAACGGGGAGCAGCCCAGAGCCUGAAUCAGUGUGUGUGUUAGUGGAAGCGUCUGGAAAGGCGCGCGAUACAGGGUGACAGCCCCGUACACAAAAAUGCACAUACUGUGAGCUCGAUGAGUAGGGCGGGACACGUGGUAUCCUGUCUGAAUAUGGGGGGACCAUCCUCCAAGGCUAAAUACUCCUGACUGACCGAUAGUGAACCAGUACCGUGAGGGAAAGGCGAAAAGAACCCCGGCGAGGGGAGUGAAAAAGAACCUGAAACCGUGUACGUACAAGCAGUGGGAGCCUCUUUAUGGGGUGACUGCGUACCUUUUGUAUAAUGGGUCAGCGACUUAUAUUCUGUAGCAAGGUUAACCGAAUAGGGGAGCCGAAGGGAAACCGAGUCUUAACUGGGCGUUAAGUUGCAGGGUAUAGACCCGAAACCCGGUGAUCUAGCCAUGGGCAGGUUGAAGGUUGGGUAACACUAACUGGAGGACCGAACCGACUAAUGUUGAAAAAUUAGCGGAUGACUUGUGGCUGGGGGUGAAAGGCCAAUCAAACCGGGAGAUAGCUGGUUCUCCCCGAAAGCUAUUUAGGUAGCGCCUCGUGAAUUCAUCUCCGGGGGUAGAGCACUGUUUCGGCAAGGGGGUCAUCCCGACUUACCAACCCGAUGCAAACUGCGAAUACCGGAGAAUGUUAUCACGGGAGACACACGGCGGGUGCUAACGUCCGUCGUGAAGAGGGAAACAACCCAGACCGCCAGCUAAGGUCCCAAAGUCAUGGUUAAGUGGGAAACGAUGUGGGAAGGCCCAGACAGCCAGGAUGUUGGCUUAGAAGCAGCCAUCAUUUAAAGAAAGCGUAAUAGCUCACUGGUCGAGUCGGCCUGCGCGGAAGAUGUAACGGGGCUAAACCAUGCACCGAAGCUGCGGCAGCGACACUAUGUGUUGUUGGGUAGGGGAGCGUUCUGUAAGCCUGUGAAGGUGUGCUGUGAGGUAUGCUGGAGGUAUCAGAAGUGCGAAUGCUGACAUAAGUAACGAUAAAGCGGGUGAAAAGCCCGCUCGCCGGAAGACCAAGGGUUCCUGUCCAACGUUAAUCGGGGCAGGGUGAGUCGACCCCUAAGGCGAGGCCGAAAGGCGUAGUCGAUGGGAAACAGGUUAAUAUUCCUGUACUUGGUGUUACUGCGAAGGGGGGACGGAGAAGGCUAUGUUGGCCGGGCGACGGUUGUCCCGGUUUAAGCGUGUAGGCUGGUUUUCCAGGCAAAUCCGGAAAAUCAAGGCUGAGGCGUGAUGACGAGGCACUACGGUGCUGAAGCAACAAAUGCCCUGCUUCCAGGAAAAGCCUCUAAGCAUCAGGUAACAUCAAAUCGUACCCCAAACCGACACAGGUGGUCAGGUAGAGAAUACCAAGGCGCUUGAGAGAACUCGGGUGAAGGAACUAGGCAAAAUGGUGCCGUAACUUCGGGAGAAGGCACGCUGAUAUGUAGGUGAAGUCCCUUGCGGAUGGAGCUGAAAUCAGUCGAAGAUACCAGCUGGCUGCAACUGUUUAUUAAAAACACAGCACUGUGCAAACACGAAAGUGGACGUAUACGGUGUGACGCCUGCCCGGUGCCGGAAGGUUAAUUGAUGGGGUUAGCGGUAACGCGAAGCUCUUGAUCGAAGCCCCGGUAAACGGCGGCCGUAACUAUAACGGUCCUAAGGUAGCGAAAUUCCUUGUCGGGUAAGUUCCGACCUGCACGAAUGGCGUAAUGAUGGCCAGGCUGUCUCCACCCGAGACUCAGUGAAAUUGAACUC
RNAcentral lists this ribosomal RNA (1791 nucleotides) under Escherichia coli. RNAcentral describes it as "partial 23S ribosomal RNA". It matches the Rfam family "Bacterial large subunit ribosomal RNA", at positions 234 to 2049 of the family's 2925-position model. Lineage: Bacteria; Pseudomonadati; Pseudomonadota; Gammaproteobacteria; Enterobacterales; Enterobacteriaceae. The record is from RNAcentral.